RNAcentral lists this ribosomal RNA (332 nucleotides) under uncultured bacterium. RNAcentral's name for it is "bacterial SSU rRNA". It matches the Rfam family "Bacterial small subunit ribosomal RNA", at positions 568 to 898 of the family's 1533-position model. The record is from RNAcentral.
CGUGUAGGCGGUCGGUCAAGUCCGAUGUGAAAGCCCGGGGCUCAGCUUCGGAAGGGCAUCGGAAACUAGCCGGCUGGAGCGCGAUAGAGGAGGGCGGAAUUCCUGGUGUAGCGGUGAAAUGCGUAGAUAUCAGGAGGAACACCGGCGGCGAAGGCGGCCCUCUGGAUCGUUGCUGACGCUGAGACGCGAAAGCGUGGGGAGCAAACAGGAUUAGAUACCCUGGUAGUCCACGCUGUAAACUAUGGGUACUAGGUGUUCGGGGUAUUGACCCCCUGAGUGCCGCAGCUAACGCAUUAAGUACCCCGCCUGGGGACUACGGCCGCAAGGUUAAA